UGGCUCUGUGGUAUAGUGCAUGCCUUGCAUGCAUGAGGCCCUGGGUUCGAUUCCCAC
Molecule: transfer RNA, 57 nt
Filed under: Dipodomys ordii (Ord's kangaroo rat)
Lineage: Eukaryota; Metazoa; Chordata; Mammalia; Rodentia; Heteromyidae
Source: Rfam by way of RNAcentral